GACGAACGCUGGCGGCGUGCUUAACACAUGCAAGUCGAACGGAAAGGCCCUGCUUGCAGGGUACUCGAGUGGCGAACGGGUGAGUAACACGUGGGUGAUCUGCCCUGCACUUCGGGAUAAGCUUGGGAAACUGGGUCUAAUACCGGAUAGGAGCCAUUUUUAGUGUGAUGGUUGGAAAGUUUUUUCGGUGUAGGAUGAGCUCGCGGCCUAUCAGCUUGUUGGUGGGGUAAUGGCCUACCAAGGCGGCGACGGGUAGCCGGCCUGAGAGGGUGGACGGCCACAUUGGGACUGAGAUACGGCCCAGACUCCUACGGGAGGCAGCAGUGGGGAAUAUUGCACAAUGGGCGCAAGCCUGAUGCAGCGACGCCGCGUGGGGGAUGACGGCCUUCGGGUUGUAAACUCCUUUCGCUAGGGACGAAGCUUUUUGUGACGGUACCUAGAUAAGAAGCACCGGCUAACUACGUG
This 465-nucleotide ribosomal RNA is filed under the name uncultured bacterium. RNAcentral describes it as "partial 16S ribosomal RNA". It matches the Rfam family "Bacterial small subunit ribosomal RNA", at positions 28 to 507 of the family's 1533-position model. The record is from RNAcentral.